CCUACGGGAGGCAGCAGUGGGGAAUAUUGCACAAUGGGGGAAACCCUGAUGCAGCGACGCCGCGUGAGUGAAGAAGUAAUUCGUUAUGUAAAGCUCUAUCAUCAGGGAAGAAAAUGACGGUACCUGAGUAAGAAGCCCCGGCUAACUACGUGCCAGCAGCCGCGGUAAUACGUAGGGGGCAAGCGUUAUCCGGAUUUACUGGGGGUGAAGGGAGAGUAGACGGGAGUGCAAGGCUGGAGGGAAAGGCAGGGGCCCAACCCCUGAACUGCUCUGGAAACUGUCCGGCUGGAGUGCAGGAGAGGUAAGUGGAAUGCCUAGUGUAGCGGUGAAAUGCGUAGAUAUUAGGAGGAACACCAGUGGCGAAGGCGGCUUACUGGACUGUAACUGACGUUGAGGCUCGAAAGCGUGGGGAGCAAACAGGAUUAGAUACCCGGGUAGUC
This 440-nucleotide ribosomal RNA is filed under the name uncultured bacterium. RNAcentral's name for it is "partial 16S ribosomal RNA". It matches the Rfam family "Bacterial small subunit ribosomal RNA", at positions 338 to 795 of the family's 1533-position model. The record is from RNAcentral.